RNAcentral lists this ribosomal RNA (2620 nucleotides) under Salmonella enterica subsp. enterica serovar Newport. RNAcentral describes it as "partial 23S ribosomal RNA". It matches the Rfam family "Bacterial large subunit ribosomal RNA". The record is from RNAcentral. Lineage: Bacteria; Pseudomonadati; Pseudomonadota; Gammaproteobacteria; Enterobacterales; Enterobacteriaceae.
AAUCCAUAGGUUAAUGAGGCGAACCGGGGGAACUGAAACAUCUAAGUACCCCGAGGAAAAGAAAUCAACCGAGAUUCCCCCAGUAGCGGCGAGCGAACGGGGAGGAGCCCAGAGCCUGAAUCAGCAUGUGUGUUAGUGGAAGCGUCUGGAAAGGCGCGCGAUACAGGGUGACAGCCCCGUACACAAAAGCGCAUGUGCUGUGAGCUCGAUGAGUAGGGCGGGACACGUGGUAUCCUGUCUGAAUAUGGGGGGACCAUCCUCCAAGGCUAAAUACUCCUGACUGACCGAUAGUGAACCAGUACCGUGAGGGAAAGGCGAAAAGAACCCCGGCGAGGGGAGUGAAAAAGAACCUGAAACCGUGUACGUACAAGCAGUGGGAGCACAGGUUUACCUGUGUGACUGCGUACCUUUUGUAUAAUGGGUCAGCGACUUAUAUUCUGUAGCAAGGUUAACCGAAUAGGGGAGCCGGAGGGAAACCGAGUCUUAAUUGGGCGUUAAGUUGCAGGGUAUAGACCCGAAACCCGGUGAUCUAGCCAUGGGCAGGUUGAAGGUUGGGUAACACUAACUGGAGGACCGAACCGACUAAUGUUGAAAAAUUAGCGGAUGACCUGUGGCUGGGGGUGAAAGGCCAAUCAAACCGGGAGAUAGCUGGUUCUCCCCGAAAGCUAUUUAGGUAGCGCCUCGUGAAUUCAUCUCCGGGGGUAGAGCACUGUUUCGGCUAGGGGGCCAUCCCGGCUUACCAACCCGAUGCAAACUGCGAAUACCGGAGAAUGUUAUCACGGGAGACACACGGCGGGUGCUAACGUCCGUCGUGAAGAGGGAAACAACCCAGACCGCCAGCUAAGGUCCCAAAGUCAUGGUUAAGUGGGAAACGAUGUGGGAAGGCCCAGACAGCCAGGAUGUUGGCUUAGAAGCAGCCAUCAUUUAAAGAAAGCGUAAUAGCUCACUGGUCGAGUCGGCCUGCGCGGAAGAUGUAACGGGGCUAAACCAUGCACCGAAGCUGCGGCAGCGACACUGUGUGUUGUUGGGUAGGGGAGCGUUCUGUAAGCCUGUGAAGGUGGCCUGUGAGGGUUGCUGGAGGUAUCAGAAGUGCGAAUGCUGACAUAAGUAACGAUAAAGCGGGUGAAAAGCCCGCUCGCCGGAAGACCAAGGGUUCCUGUCCAACGUUAAUCGGGGCAGGGUGAGUCGACCCCUAAGGCGAGGCCGAAAGGCGUAGUCGAUGGGAAACGGGUUAAUAUUCCCGUACUUGGUGUUACUGCGAAGGGGGGACGGAGAAGGCUAUGUUGGCCGGGCGACGGUUGUCCCGGUUUAAGCGUGUAGGUGUGUGUUCCAGGUAAAUCCGGUUCACUUUAACACUGAGGCGUGACGACGAGGCACUACGGUGCUGAAGCAACAAAUGCCCUGCUUCCAGGAAAAGCCUCUAAGCAUCAGGUAACAUCAAAUCGUACCCCAAACCGACACAGGUGGUCAGGUAGAGAAUACCAAGGCGCUUGAGAGAACUCGGGUGAAGGAACUAGGCAAAAUGGUGCCGUAACUUCGGGAGAAGGCACGCUGACACGUAGGUGAAGUGAUUUACUCAUGGAGCUGAAGUCAGUCGAAGAUACCAGCUGGCUGCAACUGUUUAUUAAAAACACAGCACUGUGCAAACACGAAAGUGGACGUAUACGGUGUGACGCCUGCCCGGUGCCGGAAGGUUAAUUGAUGGGGUCAGCGCAAGCGAAGCUCCUGAUCGAAGCCCCGGUAAACGGCGGCCGUAACUAUAACGGUCCUAAGGUAGCGAAAUUCCUUGUCGGGUAAGUUCCGACCUGCACGAAUGGCGUAAUGAUGGCCAGGCUGUCUCCACCCGAGACUCAGUGAAAUUGAACUCGCUGUGAAGAUGCAGUGUACCCGCGGCAAGACGGAAAGACCCCGUGAACCUUUACUAUAGCUUGACACUGAACAUUGAGCCUUGAUGUGUAGGAUAGGUGGGAGGCUUUGAAGCGUGGACGCCAGUCUGCAUGGAGCCGACCUUGAAAUACCACCCUUUAAUGUUUGAUGUUCUAACGUGGACCCGUAAUCCGGGUUGCGGACAGUGUCUGGUGGGUAGUUUGACUGGGGCGGUCUCCUCCUAAAGAGUAACGGAGGAGCACGAAGGUUGGCUAAUCCUGGUCGGACAUCAGGAGGUUAGUGCAAUGGCAUAAGCCAGCUUGACUGCGAGCGUGACGGCGCGAGCAGGUGCGAAAGCAGGUCAUAGUGAUCCGGUGGUUCUGAAUGGAAGGGCCAUCGCUCAACGGAUAAAAGGUACUCCGGGGAUAACAGGCUGAUACCGCCCAAGAGUUCAUAUCGACGGCGGUGUUUGGCACCUCGAUGUCGGCUCAUCACAUCCUGGGGCUGAAGUAGGUCCCAAGGGUAUGGCUGUUCGCCAUUUAAAGUGGUACGCGAGCUGGGUUUAGAACGUCGUGAGACAGUUCGGUCCCUAUCUGCCGUGGGCGCUGGAGAACUGAGGGGGGCUGCUCCUAGUACGAGAGGACCGGAGUGGACGCAUCACUGGUGUUCGGGUUGUCAUGCCAAUGGCACUGCCCGGUAGCUAAAUGCGGAAGAGAUAAGUGCUGAAAGCAUCUAAGCACGAAACUUGCCCCGA